CAAGAACACCAGUGGCGAAGGCGGCUCACUGGCCCGGUACUGACGCUGAGGUGCGAAAGCGUGGGGAGUAAACAGGAUUGGAUACCCUGGUAGUCCACGCGUAAACGAUGGAUGCUAGCCGUUGGGCAGCUUGCUGUUCAGUGGCGCAGCUAACGCAUUAAGCAUCCCGCCUGGGGAGUACGGUCGCAAGAUUAAAACUCAAAGGAAUUGACGGGGGCCCGCACAAGCGGUGGAGCAUGUGGUUCAAUUCGAAGCAACGCGAAGAACCUUACCAACCUUUGACAUGUCCCGUAUGAGCACCAGAGAUGGAGCUCUUCAGUUCGGCUGGCGGGAACACAGGUGCUGCAUGGCUGUCGUCAGCUCGUGUCGUGAGAUGUUGGGUUAAGUCCCGCAACGAGCGCAACCCUCGCCCUUAGUUGCCAUCAUUCAGUUGGGCACUCUAAGGGGACUGCCGGUGAUAAGCCGCGAGGAAGGUGGGGAUGACGUCAAGUCCUCAUGGCCCUUACAGGUUGGGCUACACACGUGCUACAAUGGCGGUGACAAUGGGAUGCAAUGGAGCAAUCCUGCGCAAAUCUCAAAAAGCCGUCUCAGUUCGGAUUGCACUCUGCAACUCGAGUGCAUGAAGUUGGAAUCGCUAGUAAUCGCAGAUCAGCACGCUGCGGUGAAUACGUUCCCGGGCCUUGUACACACCGCCCGUCACACCAUGGGAGUUGGUUUUACCUGAAGACGGUGCGCUAACCGCAAGGAGGCAGCCGGCCACGGUAGGAUCAGCGACUGGGGUGAAGUCGUAACAAGGUAACCAAGGG
This 806-nucleotide ribosomal RNA is filed under the name uncultured bacterium. RNAcentral's name for it is "bacterial SSU rRNA". It matches the Rfam family "Bacterial small subunit ribosomal RNA", at positions 701 to 1506 of the family's 1533-position model. The record is from RNAcentral.